GCAGCAGCCGCGGGAAUACGUAGGUGGCAAGCGUUGUCCGGAAUUAUUGGGCGUAAAGGGCUCGCAGGCGGUUUCUUAAGUCUGAUGUGAAAGCCCCCGGCUCAACCGGGGAGGGUCAUUGGAAACUGGGAAACUUGAGUGCAGAAGAGGAGAGUGGAAUUCCACGUGUAGCGGUGAAAUGCGUAGAGAUGUGGAGGAACACCAGUGGCGAAGGCGACUCUCUGGUCUGUAACUGACGCUGAGAGACGAAAGCGUGGGGAGCGAACAGGAUUAGAUACCCCAGUAGUCCCUGUCUCUUAUAC
RNAcentral lists this ribosomal RNA (302 nucleotides) under uncultured bacterium. Its description in RNAcentral is "partial 16S ribosomal RNA". It matches the Rfam family "Bacterial small subunit ribosomal RNA", at positions 508 to 807 of the family's 1533-position model. The record is from RNAcentral.